This 254-nucleotide ribosomal RNA is filed under the name uncultured bacterium. Its description in RNAcentral is "partial 16S ribosomal RNA". It matches the Rfam family "Bacterial small subunit ribosomal RNA", at positions 524 to 776 of the family's 1533-position model. The record is from RNAcentral.
UACGGGGGGGGGCAAGCGUUGUUCGGAAUUAUUGGGCGUAAAGAGCUCGUAGGCGGUUUGUCGCGUCGAAUGUGAAAACCCGGGGCUCAACCCCGGGCCUGCAGUCGAUACGGGCAGACUAGAGUGCGGUAGGGGAGACUGGAAUUCCUGGUGUAGCGGUGAAAUGCGCAGAUAUCAGGAGGAACACCGGUGGCGAAGGCGGGUCUCUGGGCCGUAACUGACGCUGAGGAGCGAAAGCGUGGGGAGCAAACAGG